GACGAACGCUGGCGGCGUGCUUAACACAUGCAAGUCGAACGGAAAGGCCCUGCUUUUGUGGGGUGCUCGAGUGGCGAACGGGUGAGUAACACGUGAGUAACCUGCCCUUGACUUUGGGAUAACCUCAGGAAACUGCGGCUAAUACCGGAUAGGAUCUCCUGCUGCAUGGUGGGGGUUGGAAAGUUUCGGCGGUUGGGGAUGGACUCGCGGCUUAUCAGCUUGUUUGUGGGGUAGUGGCUUACCAAGGCUUUGACGGGUAGCCUGCCUGAGAGGGUUACCGGCCACCUUGGGACUGAGAUACGGAGCAGACUCCUACGGGACGCAGCAGUGGGGAAUAUUGCACAAUGGGCGGAAGCGUGAUGCAGCAACGCCGCGUGCGGGAUGCCGGCUUUCGGGUUGUAAACCGCUUUCGCCUGUGACGAAGCGUGAGUGACGGUAAUGGGUAAAGAAGCACCGGCUAACUACGUG
RNAcentral lists this ribosomal RNA (468 nucleotides) under uncultured bacterium. RNAcentral describes it as "partial 16S ribosomal RNA". It matches the Rfam family "Bacterial small subunit ribosomal RNA", at positions 28 to 507 of the family's 1533-position model. The record is from RNAcentral.